GUUAGUAUUUUAUUUGAUUACAUUGCUUUUGUUUUACUUUAAACUAGGUAUUUUGCCCGCACAUCAUCUUACGAAUACUUAUAAUUUUAUGUUUUAUUAAUCCACCAAUCGGCAUAAUAAAACUCUAAUUGGUGAACAUGUUGAAGAAAAAAAACUUAUGGUGAAUUAUUUGUUCCUCAAAAUUUAUACAUGUUAUGUUGAAAUUUUAGUCAAAUUAUUGAAAGGUAGAUUCCACUUUUUUUUUAAAUUUUCCAUGGAGGAAUGAAUUUUUUCCUAUGCAAUUUUGAUAAGGGACAAAUUGAACAAACAUUCUUAUUUUUAUUUUAUUUUUUCAAUUCCUCAAAUGAAUUUUUUUUUAUUUUGUUUAUUUUUCUCAUUCUUCUAGUGGUCACCAACUCAACUCAGCCACAAUUAUUAUUUAUUAUUUUAAAUAGUUAAAUCAAACAUCAAAUUAUUUAUAUAUGUCGAUAAAACGUUCAUCAAACUAUGUACUUAUUAUUGUGUUAAAAGUUCUUUAAUAAACUCAUAUAUUAGAAAUAGUUUAGAAAAUAUCUUUAUAUAAAUAUUUUUGUUUGACUAAUAUUUAAUUAUAAAUUGUUUUAUAUCUUAAUUUUUUAACUUUAUAAUAAAAAAUAUUGUUUUCAGAUAGCAACACAAUAUAUAUAUAUAUAUAUAAUAAUUCUCUUAAUUUUAAAAUAUAUUUUCACCAUUUUUAUAUUAGUUUAUAAUUAAUUAUUUAAUAUAACAUAUAAAUUUAAUAUUAUUAAAAUAGAAUUUGUGUUUUA
Molecule: long non-coding RNA, 785 nt
Filed under: Brassica rapa (field mustard)
Lineage: Eukaryota; Viridiplantae; Streptophyta; Magnoliopsida; Brassicales; Brassicaceae
Description: long non-coding RNA (BRAP_LNC002559)
Source: RNAcentral